GGUUUGGGAGGGGUUUACGAACUCCGCAUGGUGAAGGAAAGUGCCAAGAAAAGCUGGUAAUGUGAUGAAAGCAUCAUACCCGUACCCGAAACCGACACAGGUAGGGAGGUUGAGAAUACCAAGGGGCGCGAGAUAACUCUCUCUAAGGAACUCGGCAAAAUGGCCCCGUAACUUCGGAAGAAGGGGUGCCCACGAGAGUGGGUCGCAGUGAAGAGAUCCAGGCGACUGUUUACCAAAAACACAGGUCUCCGCUAACUCGAAAGAGGACGUAUGGGGGCUGACGCCUGCCCAGUGCCGGAAGGUUAAGGAAGUUGGUCAGGGGUUCGCCCUGAAGCUGACGACCGAAGCCCCGGUGAACGGCGGCCGUAACUAUAACGGUCCUAAGGUAGCGAAAUUCCUUGUCGGGUAAGUUCCGACCCGCACGAAAGGCGUAACGAUCUGGAUGGUGUCUCAGAGAGAGACUCGGCGAAAUAGGAAUGUCUGUGAAGAUACGGACUGCCUGCACCUGGACAGAAAGACCCUAUGAAGCUUUACUGUAGCCUGGAAUUGUGUUCGGGCUUGGCUUGCGCAGGAUAGGUGGGAAGCACAGAAGUACCCCUUGUGGGGGGUAUGGAGCUAACGGUGAGAUACCACUCUGGCGAAGCUAGAAUUCUAACCUAGCACCCUCAGCGGGUGUAGGAACAGUUUCAGGUGGGCAGUUUGACUGGGGCGGUCGCCUCCUAAAAGGUAACGGAGGCGCGCAAAGGUUCUCUCAGCACACUUGGAAACCGUGCGGCGAGUGUAAAGGCAUAAAGAGAGCUUGACUGCAAGAGUGACAACUCAAGCAGGGACGAAAGUCGGCCUUAGUGAUCCGACGGCACAGAAUGGAAUGGCCGUCGCUCAACGGAUAAAAGUUACUCUAGGGAUAACAGGCUGAUCUCCCCCAAGAGUCCACAUCGACGGGGAGGUUUGGCACCUCGAUGUCGGCUCAUCGCAACCUGGGGCGGAAGUACGUCCCAAGGGUUGGGCUGUUCGCCCAUUAAAGCGGUACGUGUGCUGGGUUCAGAACGUCGUGAGACAAUUCGGUCCAUAUCCGGUGCAGGCGUAAGAGCAUUGAGAGGAGCCUUCCUUAGUACGAGAGGACCGGGAAGGACGCACCGCUGGUGUACCAGUUAUUCCACCAGGAGUAGACGCUGGGUAGCUAAGUGCGGAGCGGAUAACCGCUGAAAGCGUCUAAGUGGGAAGCCCACCUCAAGAUGAGUGCUCUCACUACUAAAGUAGGUAAGGUCACGGGCAGAACACCCGUUUAUAGGCUCUAAGUGGAAGUACAGCAAUGUAUGUAGCUGAGGAGUCCUAACAGACCGAGGGCUUGU
This 1352-nucleotide ribosomal RNA is filed under the name metagenome. RNAcentral's name for it is "bacterial LSU rRNA". It matches the Rfam family "Bacterial large subunit ribosomal RNA", at positions 1563 to 2925 of the family's 2925-position model. The record is from RNAcentral.